Molecule: ribosomal RNA, 406 nt
Filed under: uncultured bacterium
Lineage: Bacteria
Description: partial 16S ribosomal RNA
Rfam family: Bacterial small subunit ribosomal RNA
Source: RNAcentral
AUUGAACGCUGGCGGCAGGCCUUACACAUGCAAGUCGAACGAGUGGCGGACGGGUGAGUAAUGUCUGGGAACGUGCCUGAUGGUGGGGGAUAACUACUGGAAACGGUAGCUAAUACCGCAUACCAUUAGAUGUGCCCAGAUGGGAUUAGCUAGUUGUGGGGGUAAAGGCUCACCAAGGCCACGAUCCCUAGCUGGUCUGAGAGGAUGACCCGCCAAACUGGAACGGAGACACGGGCCAGACUCCGACGGGAGGCAGCAGUGGGGAAUAUUGCACAAUGGGCGAAAGCCUGAUUCAGCCAUGCCGCGUGUAUGAAGAAGGCCUUCGGGUUGUAAAGUACUUUCAGCGGGGAGGCGUUACCCGCAGAAGAAGCACCGGCUAACUCCGUGCCAGCAGCCGCGGUAAUAC